GACGAACGCUGGCGGCGUGCUUAACACAUGCAAGUCGAACGGACAGGCCUCUUUCGUGCUGUACUCGCGUUGCGAACGGGUGAGUAACACGUACGUAACCUGCCCUUGUCUUUGGGAUAACUUCCUUCAACUGGGCCUAAUACCGGCUAGGUGCUCCUUCUGCCUGCAUGGGGUUGUAGAGUUUCGGCGUUUUGGGGUGGCCUCGCGGCUUAUCAGCUUGUUGGUGGGGUGGUGGCUUACCAACGCGUUGCCGGGUAGCCGGCCUGAGAGGGUGAGCGGCCACAGUGGGACUGAGAGACGGCCCAGACAGCGACGGGAGGGAGAAGUGGGGAAGAUUGAACAAGGGGUGGAAGGCGGAUGCAGAAACGCCGUGGGCGGGAUGACGGCGUUCGGGGUGAAAACCGCUUUCGCUAAUGACGAAGCUUGGUGUGACGGUAGUGGGUAAGGAAGCAACGGCUAACUACGUG
RNAcentral lists this ribosomal RNA (467 nucleotides) under uncultured bacterium. RNAcentral's name for it is "partial 16S ribosomal RNA". It matches the Rfam family "Bacterial small subunit ribosomal RNA", at positions 28 to 507 of the family's 1533-position model. The record is from RNAcentral.